Molecule: non-coding RNA, 107 nt
Organism: Beta vulgaris subsp. vulgaris (sugar beet)
Lineage: Eukaryota; Viridiplantae; Streptophyta; Magnoliopsida; Caryophyllales; Amaranthaceae
Source: Rfam
AGACCAUGAUGGGGACAUUAUCUCUGGCAGUCCUUGAAUCUUUCCCAAGCCUCAUGUAAAGAUUCGUCGUUACCUUGGGUGAAAUUUGCAAUCAGCCUACGCAAUCU